UUUUUCUGUUUUUUUUUAGGGUGAGAAGCCUCACGCCUAUAUCUCGCCCAGAUGAGAGAAAUCAAGUGGAAGAGAGCCAGAAGAAUGGUGUAGUGGGUGCAUAUAAAAAAAUCAAUGCAAUGAUCGAUAUAAAGGAGGAGUUGUCAUCCAAACACAAAAGAGAAGGUGGCAAGGUGGAUAGAGAGAUUGCGUGAACACCAUGACCAAAACGCUUCUAAAUUGUGAUGGAGGUUGAGGUGAGGAACACAUGUGCGGAGGAGUGUAGGCUUGAUAUCGAGGCCGAGAGGAAACAAAUAAGAGAAAGGAACAAAAGUGAAGGAUUAUGUUCAUGGAUGCUAUCGGCCAAUAUUGGAAGUUCACCCCUAUGUACCCUUGGUAGUGGUAAAUUCAUGUUUCUUAUUAUGAAUAUAUGUGUGGGAUGGGGUGGCUUUUUGUUACUAUUUUGCAUUCGGUGGCUUUCGAUACUUUAUGUUGAUAUUUUUCGUUCAAUUUGAAAUGAUGUUCAAAUUUGUGUAUUCAAAAGUCGUACUACCAAGUCAGCGACAAUUUAAUAUGGAUCAAAGGGAGUUGCGUCGUCAAAAAGUUCAAACUGUGCAGUGUUUGCAAGGAGAAAUAGAAACAAAAGUUUGAAUUGUUCAAUGAGUAAUGGAACAGAAAUUUAAAUUUUGCGUUUACAAAGGUGGAAUGUGAAGUUAAAUCUGGCCUUUUUUGGUUUGUAGGAAUCACACAGGAUAAGAGUUGUAUAGGAAAAAUUCCUUUGAGCCAUUCUUAUUCCUAUAGAGAAAUUCUUUCUAUUAAGAAAAUAAGCAUUGACCUUGACUCAAUGAAAAAAAUCCUAUGAUGCGAACCAAAAGGCAUCUUCUUCUCUAUUCCAGUUCGGAUUUCAAAUCUCAUUUCCUAUGACUAUCCUAUCCUAUGAACCAAUGGCCUUAUGAGGGGAGAUGUGACAGAAUUCGUGCACGAAACUUUUGACAUAAUUGCAGUAUUUUCUUUUCAAAGUUUAAGUUCACCCUCGAAAACUGCGUUACUACAACGACACGUGGGAUAGCUGUACUUCAAGCAAAGAUACUGCAGAGGCACUGAAGCUAACCAAAUACAAUGAACAUCACUUAAGAGACAAUGGACAUCGCCAAGCAAAGAUAUUGCAAGGCGCUGAAGCUAAGCAAUGACUGGUUGCAACGAAACAUGGUCUUCAAGCUCACAAAAUCAAAAGAGUUGACAGCGAUAAGAAUCUUGCAAAAUAUCAUUCAAACACUGGGGCGAUAGAUUUUGCUACUCUCAGUACAAAGUACUUUACUAAUUACUGUCAAUUGCUCAAACAGAACAACAGCCGCUCCACGCAAACAGCGACUAACAAGAAAGGGCGACUUA
This 1371-nucleotide long non-coding RNA is filed under the name Triticum aestivum (bread wheat). RNAcentral describes it as "long non-coding RNA (TAES_LNC002638)". The record is from RNAcentral. Lineage: Eukaryota; Viridiplantae; Streptophyta; Magnoliopsida; Poales; Poaceae.